Molecule: ribosomal RNA, 338 nt
Filed under: Heterosaccus californicus
Lineage: Eukaryota; Metazoa; Arthropoda; Thecostraca; Sacculinidae
Description: partial 12S ribosomal RNA
Source: RNAcentral
UAGUACUCUUAUUAAUUAAAAAUUAAUUAGUAAGAAUUCUUAAACUUAAAGUCUUGGCGGCUAAUUAACUAGUUAGAGAGUCUUGUUUAUAUAAAUGAUAAUACACAUUCUACUGUUCUUUUACUAUAAAUUAUCUUGUAUACCGUUGUAAAGAAAAGUUAAAAAUAAUUUUUCAGCAAAUUCUAGAUAUAUUUAAUUACAGAUUAGGUGCAGAGAAUGUAAAAGUUUAAAUGAGACGCAUAUAAAUAUUGAAUUUCUUAAUUGAAAAAUUUGAAAUUGUAAGAAUUUAAUAGUAAUAGUUAUUAAUUUAAUAAAUAUGAAUAAAGUAUAAAUUAGUG